AACCACACUAUCAAUGAAUGGAUUCACCCGCGAUAUGAUGUGGCUGUUUCACAUAGGACGAGGACAUGACAUCCUAUUACCAGCCAUCUCACGAAAUUAAUAGGAUAUACCACGUCAUCAUCCUAGAUGGAGCAACCACAUCAUCUCACGGGUGAAUCCAUUCAUCGAUAGUGUGGUU
This is a non-coding RNA of Oryza meridionalis, 178 nucleotides long. NCBI's taxonomy places the organism in Eukaryota, Viridiplantae, Streptophyta, Magnoliopsida, Poales, Poaceae. The record is from Rfam.